This 468-nucleotide ribosomal RNA is filed under the name uncultured bacterium. Its description in RNAcentral is "partial 16S ribosomal RNA". It matches the Rfam family "Bacterial small subunit ribosomal RNA", at positions 28 to 507 of the family's 1533-position model. The record is from RNAcentral.
GAUGAACGCUGGCGGCGUGCUUAACACAUGCCAGUCGAACGGAAAGGCCCAAGCUUGCUUGGGUACUCGAGUGGCGAACGGGUGAGUAACACGUGGGUGAUCUGCCCUGCACUUCGGGAUAAGCCUGGGAAACUGGGUCUAAUACCGGAUAGGACGAUGGUUUGGAUGCCAUUGUGGAAAGUUUUUUCGGUGUGGGAUGAGCUCGCGGCCUAUCAGCUUGUUGGUGGGGUAAUGGCCUACCAAGGCGUCGACGGGUAGCCGGCCUGAGAGGGUGUACGGCCACACUGGGACUGUGAGACGGGCCACAGUCCGACGGGAGGGAGCAGUGGGGAAUAUUGGACAAUGGGAGCAAGCGUGAUGGAGCGACGCCGCGUGGGGGAUGACGGCCUUUGUGUGGUAAACACCUUUCGCUAGGGACGAAGCGUUUUUGUGACGGUACCUGGAGAAGAAGCACCGGCUAACUACGUG